This 465-nucleotide ribosomal RNA is filed under the name uncultured Klebsiella sp. Its description in RNAcentral is "bacterial SSU rRNA". It matches the Rfam family "Bacterial small subunit ribosomal RNA", at positions 338 to 795 of the family's 1533-position model. The record is from RNAcentral. Lineage: Bacteria; Pseudomonadati; Pseudomonadota; Gammaproteobacteria; Enterobacterales; Enterobacteriaceae.
CCUACGGGUGGCUGCAGUGGGGAAUAUUGCACAAUGGGCGCAAGCCUGAUGCAGCCAUGCCGCGUGUGUGAAGAAGGCAUUCGGGUUGUAAAGCACUUUCAGCGGGGAGGAAGGCGGUGAGGUUAAUAACCUCAUCGAUUGACGUUACCCGCAGAAGAAGCACCGGCUAACUCCGUGCCAGCAGCCGCGGUAAUACGGAGGGUGCAAGCGUUAAUCGGAAUUACUGGGCGUAAAGCGCACGCAGGCGGUCUGUCAAGUCGGAUGUGAAAUCCCCGGGCUCAACCUGGGAACUGCAUUCGAAACUGGCAGGCUAGAGUCUUGUAGAGGGGGGUAGAAUUCCAGGUGUAGCGGUGAAAUGCGUAGAGAUCUGGAGGAAUACCGGUGGCGAAGGCGGCCCCCUGGACAAAGACUGACGCUCAGGUGCGAAAGCGUGGGGAGCAAACAGGAUUAGAUACCCUUGUAGUC